AACCCAUUUUGAGGAUAUUUCCGCAGGAGCUCCUUGAACCUAUCCCAUGUCUGAAAAAGAGAAUCCAAUUCAAUUUGCACAAAAGAAGAUAUUUAAUUUCUAAGCUU
This is a small nucleolar RNA of Dioscorea cayenensis subsp. rotundata (Guinea yam), 107 nucleotides long. The record is from RefSeq and is a predicted model, not a curated record. NCBI's taxonomy places the organism in Eukaryota, Viridiplantae, Streptophyta, Magnoliopsida, Dioscoreales, Dioscoreaceae.